This is a long non-coding RNA of Saccostrea cuccullata (small rock oyster), 309 nucleotides long. RefSeq lists it as uncharacterized. The transcript is spliced from 2 exons. Lineage: Eukaryota; Metazoa; Mollusca; Bivalvia; Ostreida; Ostreidae. The record is from RefSeq and is a predicted model, not a curated record.
UUGAACAGACCAAUCCAAUAAUGAUUCGAGUAGACACUAAAGCAGGACAUGGUAUGGGAAAACCCACAGCCAAAAUUAUAGAGGAGCUGACAGAUAUUUACAGUUUCAUUAUACAGACAGUAGGAGGCAGUUGGAGGGAAUAACAUCAGCCUUACUUUAGAAAUUCAAAUUGUGGUGGAACUAAUGAACAAUGCAUAGAAUGUUCCAGCAAAAUUAUAAAAGCAUAUAGACAUGGAGUAAAUAAAGCAAACAGAACAUAAUAUUUUUAAUUUAAAGUUAUUUAAGAUAAAAAUAAAGAAUAACACAAUA